UUUGAUCUGAACCAAUAAUGGCCUCCAAGUCAGCAUAUGAAAUAUUGAGGGAAAUCAUUUAUGAAAUAACAACGCCCUCAGCCUUCCACACUUCAUGAACUGCUUGGGUUAAGUAGUCGGAAUAACCACAGACCCAGUCAAUAUAAAGAGAAAUACCCUUGUAAGACUAGGGAACAUGUCAUAUAACUCGCGGGAGUAUGAUUUCAAGAGCUAGAGUAUCGUACAAGUCAAGUUGCAUCCUUACCAACCAGUCUAAGUCAAGGUACCUCCUUUCAAAGGUUGGCGUACCUAUCUAUCGAAAGCCCGUUGGGUGGGACCCUCAUCUG
RNAcentral lists this unclassified non-coding RNA (326 nucleotides) under Hevea brasiliensis (rubber tree). The record is from RNAcentral. Lineage: Eukaryota; Viridiplantae; Streptophyta; Magnoliopsida; Malpighiales; Euphorbiaceae.